Molecule: non-coding RNA, 879 nt
Organism: Drosophila virilis
Lineage: Eukaryota; Metazoa; Arthropoda; Insecta; Diptera; Drosophilidae
Source: RefSeq, a predicted model, not a curated record
AUGUUACUUUUACUCUUUCAUCCGGUUGUUCUCAAACUCACUCAAAUUUGAGCAGCAAUGUUGUUAAGUGGAAUCGACUCUAGAGUUGCCCAUAAGAAACUGCAUACAAAGUUUUACAACUGAAGCUCACCCAGUUCCCGAGUUCACAUAGUUCCAUGAGAGACUUGGGUAUCUAAGCGACGCCUCACUUUGGCGCAAGCUAACAACACGACAGUGAUUACAGGGUAUCAAAAGCAAUCAAAGCCCGCAUCUUAAGUCCACACAACAGCUGAACCUCGAAAUCAAGAACAGCAGAAAGCGAAAAGGGGCAGCAAGCGUCGCCCCAACCAUAAUACUAAUAAAAAAGAAGCUCGGGAACAGGCAAACCCAAUGCCUUACAUAGAGUUUGGCAAAGAGUUCUGUUAGUCGACUGCAGCAGCAGCAGCAGCAGAAGAAGAUCCAAGGAAGAAUCGAGGAAGGCCACAGCCGAAGCCAAAAGCCGACGAACAUCUGCGGCAAACGAACUUCAAAAAUAGAGAGAAGGCAAGAGAGAGAGAGAGAGAGAGAGGCAGAGAGAGAGAUGAAACAUAAUAAUAAUAAAUAAGGAAUCACAGUUGGGCCACAGACAACAGGAUCAGCGCCUCCUGUUCGUAUUACCCGUUGUCCAGGCUUACUUUAAAGGGUAUAUCGCGUGUUGGGUUUUGAUAAGAUUCAUCUUACAGCUCGCAAAAUAAGAACAAAUGCUUAAGAUCUUAAUACUCUGCGAUUCUGAAUACAGGGUAUAUUGGUUUUGUGCAGUUACCGUUGGACUCUCUGUCGGAAUGCAACUAUAAGAUUGAGAGUUUUCGACUUUGAUUACAGAGCUUAAUCCAAAAAGAUGCCAUCCUUGAAUUCUGCAAA